Molecule: long non-coding RNA, 1452 nt
Organism: Musa acuminata AAA Group (dessert banana)
Lineage: Eukaryota; Viridiplantae; Streptophyta; Magnoliopsida; Zingiberales; Musaceae
Exons: 3
Source: RefSeq, a predicted model, not a curated record
AAGCCGUUUUCUUGAACCCCUUCGCUCUUGGAUCCAUCGCCUCCUCCAAUCUCUUCGUCUUCUCCGUAUCAAGAUCCCAAUUAUUGAGGAGCAGGAUCCUUCCGGAAGUGGUCUUGAGCCCCCAUCGUGUCUGAUGGAACAGGACCAAGGCAAGACGGUAUGGUCCGACGGAAGACCGGCGAGUCCAUCUCAUCCCCGCCUCCUCUCAGAUCCCCGCCCUCGUCUUUCGAGAUGCUUCCAAAGGUGGUAGCGCACCGCGAUCGAGGCUGCUGGAGCACGACGACGAUGGGCCGGUGAUGGAUGGCUGGGAAACCGGCGACUCCUCGUUAUCUCCACCUCAUCUCAGAUUCUUUCAGUGGCGGUAGCGCACCCCGAUGACGAACGUUGGAACUCGAGGACGACGACCAGCUUGGACGACGGCCCAGAAGAAAAGUGGGUGAUCAUCUUCUCCUUGAUCUCUUUCCAGGUCUGUCACAAUCCCCUUGACCGAUUUGUUCUGUUCCUCCAUUCUUCUCGUUGUUCCUAGAAUCAUUAGAUCUUAAAGAACAUAAUAAUUUCUCCCUUACUUUUGGGGCAGAUCUCUUGUAGAAUGUUUACUUUUACGUGAUAUUGUGAAAUUAUGGGAACGAAGGUUGGUUGUGUAUGAAUGGGAAGUCUGGGAGUGGUCAUCGCCUCUGGUUGUUCAUCAACUAACAAUGAUGAAUCUUUGACUUGGGGAUUUUAUGAGAUUACGUAUAUGGGUCAUCUUUAGUCUUUGAUAACCCUUGAGGUGCUCUAGGUUGUUGGGUAGUGGAAAAGUGGUAGGACUUGCAAGAAUAAAGAAAGAUCUAGUGGUGCAUUAUUCGAUUUACAGCACCAUCUUUAACUUUUCUGGUAUCUUGAGUAUAACACAAGUCAUUGAAAAAUGGUAAUCAAACUAUUCUGCUUUAUUGUUUGUGCUGCCCUCUUUCUAAAACUCUAAAAGUUAUUCGUAAUUUUAAAGAAAGAAACCGAUGUGCGGAUUGAUUACCUGAUUUUGCUCGAUCAACUAAAGAAUUUUUUGUUGAGGGGCCACUGGCUCUUCAACAAAAAUUGCUCUGAUUUUGAAGGAAAAAAUAGUCUAUUCCAUUAUGUCGAGUUCCACUGAUUUUGGAUGUGCUGAAAUGCCGCGUGGUAAUAAAAAAUGUUCAAACGAGGAAACCUCUGGCACUUCUUUUGCCUCCUAUAAAUGGAUGAUGCUCUGCUGGAAACUAAGUCAGACACAGUGAAGGAAUUUUAUUUAAUCUAGCUUUUUUGUGCAAGCAAAUCUUUCUUUCCAUAUUCUUACUGCUUGUUUCCUUGAGAUUUAAUUAUGUUGUAGUUUUAUGUUCGACUUCUUUAAGGUGCUUACUACUGCUACGCUACUCUUUAGCAUGUAUCUUAAUACCUUGAUGUAUAUAAAGACUGUUAUGAAAUCUUUGUGCAUUGUGCUUA